UGCGUAGGCGGAUUAAUAAGUCAGUGGUGAAAACCUGCAGCUUAACUGUAGAAUUGCCAUUGAUACUGUUAGUCUUGAGUACGGUCAAGGUAGGCGGAAUGUGUAAUGUAGCGGUGAAAUGCUUAGAUAUUACACAGAACACCGAUUGCGAAGGCAGCUUACUGGGCCAUUACUGACGCUGAGGCACGAAAGCGUGGGGAGCGAACAGGAUUAGAUACCCUGGUAGUCCACGCCGUAAACGAUGAUCACUCGCUGUUGGCGAUACACAGUCAGCGGCUAAGCAAAAGCAUUAAGUGAUCCACCUGGGGAGUACGGCCGCAAGGCUGAA
This 328-nucleotide ribosomal RNA is filed under the name uncultured Prolixibacter sp. Its description in RNAcentral is "bacterial SSU rRNA". It matches the Rfam family "Bacterial small subunit ribosomal RNA", at positions 568 to 898 of the family's 1533-position model. The record is from RNAcentral. Lineage: Bacteria; Pseudomonadati; Bacteroidota; Bacteroidia; Marinilabiliales; Prolixibacteraceae.